GGAGAGGGAGCCUGAGAAACGGCUACCACAUCCAAGGAUGGCAGCAGGCGCGCAAAUUACCCAAUCCCAACACGGGGAGGUAGUGACAAGAAAUAACAAUACGGGGUUCUUUCGGAUCUCGUAAUUGGAAUGAGUACAAUUUAAAUCUCUUAACGAGGAACAAUUGGAGGGCAAGUCUGGUGCCAGCAGCCGCGGUAAUUCCAGCUCCAAUAGCGUAUAUUAAAGUUGUUGCAGUUAAAAAGCUCGUAGUUGAAUUUCGGGGUUCAUCCGUUGGCCGGGCUUUUUUGGUCUGUACUGGCGUGAUGGAUUCCUACCUUCUGAAUAACCAGCAUGUCAUUAAUUUGGUGCGCUGGGGAAGCAGGACUGUUACCUUGAAAAAAUUAGAGUGCUUAAAGCAGGUUAUCGCCUGAAUACAUUAGCAUGGAAUAAUGAAAUAGGACGGCAUGGUUCUAUUUUGUUGGUUUCUAGGAUCGACGUAAUGAUUAAUAGGGAUAGUUGGGGGCAUUAGUAUUCAAUUGUCAGAGGUGAAAUUCUUGGAUUUAUUGAAGACUAACUACUGCGAAAGCAUUUGCCAAGGAUGUUUUCAUUAAUCAAGAACGAAAGUUAGGGGAUCGAAGACGAUCAGAUACCGUCGUAGUCUUAACCAUAAACUAUGCCGACUAGGGAUCGGAUGAUGUUAAUUUUUUAAUGACUCAUUCGGCGCCUUACGGGAAACCAAUG
This 720-nucleotide ribosomal RNA is filed under the name uncultured Acaulospora. Its description in RNAcentral is "SSU rRNA". It matches the Rfam family "Eukaryotic small subunit ribosomal RNA", at positions 385 to 1103 of the family's 1831-position model. Lineage: Eukaryota; Fungi; Glomeromycota; Glomeromycetes; Diversisporales; Acaulosporaceae. The record is from RNAcentral.